This 74-nucleotide transfer RNA is filed under the name Pedobacter soli. Its description in RNAcentral is "tRNA_Pseudo_CAT". It matches the Rfam family "tRNA". Rfam says of the family: Transfer RNA (tRNA) molecules are approximately 80 nucleotides in length. Their secondary structure includes four short double-helical elements and three loops (D, anti-codon, and T loops). The record is from RNAcentral. Lineage: Bacteria; Pseudomonadati; Bacteroidota; Sphingobacteriia; Sphingobacteriales; Sphingobacteriaceae.
GGCCAGUUGACCGAUUGGAAGGUUGGAGUUUCAUAAACUUUUUAUAAUGGUUCGAAUCCAUUACUAGGCCGCUA